This 258-nucleotide ribosomal RNA is filed under the name uncultured bacterium. RNAcentral's name for it is "partial small subunit ribosomal RNA". It matches the Rfam family "Bacterial small subunit ribosomal RNA", at positions 26 to 285 of the family's 1533-position model. The record is from RNAcentral.
AGGACGAACGCUGGCGGCGUGCUUAACACAUGCAAGUCGAGCGACGCUCCUCCUUCGGGAGGAUGACGGAGCGGCGAACGGGUGAGUAACACGUGGGCAACCUGCCCCUAGCUCUGGGAUAACCCCGGGAAAUCGGGACUAAUACCGGAUAUGAAGUCGGACGGCAUCGUCUGACUUGGAAAGUUUUUCGGCUAGGGAUGGGCCCGCGGCCUAUCAGCUUGUUGGUGGGGUAACGGCCUACCAAGGCGACGACGGGUA